This 439-nucleotide ribosomal RNA is filed under the name uncultured bacterium. RNAcentral's name for it is "partial 16S ribosomal RNA". It matches the Rfam family "Bacterial small subunit ribosomal RNA", at positions 339 to 795 of the family's 1533-position model. The record is from RNAcentral.
CUACGGGCCGCUCCAGUGAGGAAUAUUGCACAAUGGGGGGAACCCUGAUGCAGCAACGCCGCGUGGAGGAUGACGCAUUUCGGUGUGCAAACUCCUUUUAUAUGUCAAGAAAAUGACGGUAGCAUAUGAAUAAGCACCGGCUAACUCCGUGCCAGCAGCCGCGGUAAUACGGAGGGUGCAAGCGUUACUCGAAAUCACUGGGCGUAAAGGACGCGUAGGCGGGUUGGAAAGUCAGGUGUGAAAUCCUACAGCUUAACUGUAGAACUGCACUUGAAACUUCUAAUCUAGAGUAUGGGAGGGGGAGAUGGAAUUAGUGGUGUAGGGGUAAAAUCCGUAGAUAUCACUAGGAAUACCUAAAGCGAAGGCGAUCUCCUGGAACAUUACUGACGCUAAGGCGUGAAAGCGUGGGGAGCAAACAGGAUUAGAUACCCUCGUAGUC